This 31473-nucleotide long non-coding RNA is filed under the name Ananas comosus (pineapple). RNAcentral's name for it is "long non-coding RNA (ACOM_LNC003120)". Lineage: Eukaryota; Viridiplantae; Streptophyta; Magnoliopsida; Poales; Bromeliaceae. The record is from RNAcentral.
AAGAGGUUUAGAAUAAUAAGCUCGACGAAACUUAAUUAACAAUUAAAAAGAUGAAGAGUUUCAAAGAUUAAACUGUUGUAAGGACUGAGAUUUUUUUUUUACAGUGCAACUNUUGGCUGAUGAAUAGUCUAGUUGGUUUAUGUGGUUCAGUGUUCAUUUACAUUUGAAAAUGUGGAUUUCUGGAUUUUGUAAAAUAAAAAGUUUUCUACCCCUCGUGGUAGCAUUUUUAAAGAAUGAAGGUUCCUGUGUAGGGAACAGUUUUCAAAGGAUUUUCUAUGGAUUUAUAUUUAGACAUUGAAUGCAUAUCUGUGAUGUGAAUGGUGAAUGUAUGAACGUAUGGUAAUUUCUAUAUUCAUAUAGUUGUGGUUGUAUCCUGUUUGUACUGUUGUACUUGUGCGACGCCGUGCAAAUACAGGGGAGACUCUGUCCGUGUGAACAGUGGAAUCUCUGUAUUUGUGGCGGGUCUGGCAUACUCUGGGGUCAGGAUUUCAAAAAAAAAAAAAAUUUCAAACGCUUUUCCGCUGUGUUUCAAACAAAAAGGGGACCCCGGGGCGUGACAACUGUUCAAAGAAACAACAUAACAUGAAUGGAGUUUCAAAUAAUAAACGAAGGUUUUAAUAUUUGAAAAGAGGAUUUCUCACACGUAGGAAUAAAAUUUUACAAUCUACAAUCAGAUGGGAUCAAAUUGAAAACAAAAUCGAAAUUCGCCCUCUCUUAGGCAUUUUAUCAAAUAGGUAACAGGCAUUCCAAUAAGUAUAUAGAAUAUACAAAAUUUACGCAAUUAAAUCAUAUGGAGAAUACGUGAUAUAAAAUUAAAUAGUUCAAUUCAAACGAUAAAAAUUAGAUCAAAGCAAAUCAGAUUUAAAUAGUUUUCAUUCUAAUCAUCAAGAGAUAAGUAUUCGGAAAUAAUCAUAUAGCCAUGAACAAGAAGGUUAGAUGUUCUCAAGAUUAUAAUAGGGAUAAAAAAAUGAAAGAAACGAACCUUUUCAAAGAUAGUAAUAUCGAUGACAAGAUGCCGUCGACGGCAAACCAAAAAUUCAGAUAGAGAUUAAAGAACACAACUACAACGACGACAGCCACGGAUGACGACGACGAUUAUGGUGAUGAAUGGCGUCGCGUGCGCGUGUGGGAGAGGGGAAGGCGUACGGAUGUGAGUAUGAGAGAGGGUCAGGUGAGAGAGAGAAAGAGAGAGAAAGAAAGGUGGGUAGGGUGGCUAUUACGAAUAGAAAGCAAAAUAGAAUUAGGAAUUAAUUAGAUACAAUAUGUGUCCCUCAACAAUUGAUAAUUACAAAAAGGCCCAAACUUUAAAAGAAUAGGGGUCAAAACAAAAAAAAUAAAGUAUAGGUUGUUACAUUCUCCCCUUUUAAAAAGAAGUAUAGUCCUCUGAACUUAACAUACCUUGGCUCUCGAAGAGCUAAGGAUAUUUCGUCCUCACCUUCUUCUUGAACUUCCAAGUAGCUUCCCAUUUAGAAUGAUUGCUCCACUGGACUAGAAUAAAUCAGAAUAUUGUUUAUGAAGACGACUGCGAACUUAUCCAAGAAAGGUUUGAAAACUCAAUUCAUUAGAUCCAUGAAAGCGGCUGGAGUGUUGGUUAAUCCAAAAGGCAUUACUAGAAACUCAAAAUGCCCAUAAUGUGUGCGAAAAGCAAUCUUGAGUAUAUUUUUGGCUUUGAUCUUCAAUUGAUGGUAUCCUAAACGUAGAUCAAUCUUGGAGAAGACCACUGCACCACGAAACUGAUCAAAUUGGUUGUCAAUUCUAGACAAUGGGUAUCGAUUCUUCACAGUGAUUCUAUUUAGCUAGCAAUAAUCGAUACAUAAUCUUAGAGUACCAUUCUUCUUCUUGACAAAAGCAUAUGAGUGCCCCAAGAAGAGACACUACGUCUAAUGAAUCCUUUGUCCAGAAGUUUCUGAAAUUGCACUUGCAAUUCCUUGAGCUCAACUGGUGACAUUCAGUAAGGCGUCUUCGAAAUUGGAUAUGUUCUUGGAGCUAAAUCAACACAAAAUUCAAUCUUCCUAUCAGGCGGUAGCUCAGGGAGGUCCUCGAGAAAUACAUCUAAAAAUUUAUUUACUACCGAAAUGUCUUCUAAUCUCGAAAUAUUUGAAUUUAGAUCUUUCACUAAGGCCACAAAUCCAGUGCAGCCACUCCUUAAGUGACGAGUAACCUGCAAGCAAGAAAUAAUCGGAAGUGGGUUGUAAGCUCCACUCUCGAGAAAAAUAAAAUCUCCCUCCCCAGGAAUGUUGAUGUCACGCCCCGGGGUCCCUUUUCAGUUUAAAACAAAGCGGAAAAGCGUCUGAGUUUUUUUUUUUUUUUUUGAAAACCUGACCCCAGAGUAUGCCAGAUCCGCCACAAAUACAGGNUCCUGAAACUUGACGAGUGCUUAUGUAAUUAAAUUACACACAUAAACAUCGUCAACAGAGAGUUUAGUUGCACAGUCAAAAAUCUCAGUCCUUACAGUUGAAUGUCACCCAUUUCUCCUGACAAUUUAGAGUAGCAAAAUAGGACGAAAGCCAGUCCAUUCCCAAAAUCACAUCAAAGUCAUGCAUGUCCAUAACAUGGAGGUUUGCCAAUAAACUCUUAUUGUCCAUUUUGACCAUACUCCUACAAACUCGGUCAAUCACAAGCUCCUUCCCCAAAGGCGUAGCAAUGACCGGACCUGCUAGCAAUAAUAACUCGUUGGGCCAAACCACCGGCCCAAAAUACUUUACCCCAGUUAUUAUUACUAGCGUGCGAGGCCUCAUAUUGUCAUGCCCCAGGAUCUCUUCACGUAAAGCUGACUGAAAUAUAGGCAAUUGUUUUUUUUUUAAACCUUGACUCAAGGGAUGACAGAUCCGCCGCAAAUACAGAGAAUUUUCUAUCCACACAAAUAGUCUCCCCUGUAUUUGCACGACGUCACACAUAAUACAAGUCACAAACCACAUCCACUCACAAAUUACAAUUACAACUGUACAUUACAUAAUCCAUAAACAUUCCAUAUCUAUCAGUUGAAGUGUUUCCCAGCUGGAAACUUUAUUUUGAAAUACUAGAGUCUCAAAAGCUAGAAAACCUUUUGAAAACUGUUUUCUACACGAAAACCUCUAAAUUAAUUGUUUGAAAACAAACUAUCUCGAGGUGUAGAAAAUCAUUUACUUCACAUAGAACCCCAAGUGUUUGAAAUACUUUUAUUCAAAGUAUAAAACGAGAUAAUCAUCAUAAACUGAACCACAUAAUAGUCUAAGCAUUGAUAAGAAAAGGGUAAAGAAGGCAACCGCACUACGCUAUCGCCGGAUCUGACAGGACUGUCUAGCUACUACGCCUCACGCACCGUCCCGACUCUCACCAUCCAAGUCACCCAAAAGAGAGGGAGGGUGAGGCCUUAGAUGAAACUCUUGUUGUUUGCAUAAGUUAAUUAUUAUUGUUCAUCGCAUCGUGUUGGGAUGAGAGAGGGGAAGGGGAGAGUGUAGGGAAAAUUUUGAAAUAAUAUAUUUUAUUAUUUAAUUUUUAGUGGAUGGAUACAAUCCUUAGUGAAUAAAUACUACUCUUAAUGAGUGAAUGUGAUUCUAAAUCAAAGAGUGCAACUCUUAGUAGGUGAAUAUAAAAAAAUGUGACUUUUGAUGAAAGGAUUAGUAUGAAAAGACAACUUUACAGUGUGUCACUUCAUGUAUACUAGUGUAGGCCAGCGCUUUGCGGCGGAAAAUUUAUGUAAUUUAUUUAAAAUUUAAAUUUCUAACUCCCUUUUGUUUAAAUCCUGAAAUUUGAAAAUUUAAAUUUUAGAAAAUACAUUUUAUCUUAAUUCAGUUUGUAUAUUUUGAAUAUAUGAUUUUAUAUAGAGUUUUGUUGAAUCCUAAUUUUUCUAAAUUCUAAAGCUUUAUAUGCAUGGAAUAACUCACUUUACAUUUUAAAGAAUAAAAACUUUUAAAUUUUAACUAUUUAACUUUAAAUUUAGGUAGAGAGAGAGAGAGAGUGAGAGAGAGGGGGAGGGUAUAAAAUUUAAAAUCUAAUAUUUGAAAGCUAAAAUUUUAAAUUUUUUAAUUGUAAAAUUGUAAACUUUAGGGAAGCUUCUAUUCCCCAGUUAAUAUAUGUAUAGAUAAUCUAAAUUAUUUUUAAAAAAUUAUAUAGAAAAUAUUAUAUAUUUUAAAAUUUUUAUAAUAAGAAAAAAUAAUUAGAUUUGAUUAUAAAGAAAAAAAGAAAAAGUAAGCUAAAAAAAAAAAUGCUGGCCGGAACCCGCCUCCGCUCCGCUCCUCUGCCCGUUGAUCGCCGGCACCUGGCCGUGCCACGGCUGCGGCGACUCCCCGCGCCCUGAUUAUUCUGGUCCCCCUCCCUACCGGGUUCCUCAUCUCCAGUGCCGUCAAGUAUGCACCUCCGCCAUUGCGGCGGAGCCGAAAUUAAAUCUAAAAUUUUAUUUUUUUGUAUAUGGACCAUAGCAAAAAAAAAAAAAAAAAGAGAGAUUACAGACAGAGGACUGGGUCCCACAGGGAAAAAAGCCAAAAAAAAAAAACGCGCACGGCUAGCAGGUUCGCAUUAGGCUCUGUGCCCGCGCCAGCGUACGCUCACUCGCCGCCCGCGCCCGCCUGCCCGGCCCGUGCCUCCGCCCUCGGCUUGCGCCCUCGACAGCGCCUGCGCCCGCCUUCGCCCGCGCCUUCGGCCCUCCGCUCGUGUCGCGGCAACGCCAGGGCCGCCUCGGCCGCAAGCCCCGUGCCCGCGCAGAGGAAGACCGGACGCGCCCUCGACCGCGCCUGCGCCCCGGCAGGCAUGUGUGCAGAGAGAGAGGAUGAAAUAAAAAAAUAAUAAAAAAAGUUAAGGAAUUAUAAGAAAAAAUGAUUUAUGUUGUUUAACAGUUUUGCCUUAUUCUUCUUUCAUCUAUCAUAUGUAUUUUUUUUUAUUUUUUUUAUUUUCUAAUAUUUUAUUUCUAAAUUUUUUACGUAUUUUUUUAUAUAUUUUUAAUCUUUUUUAUUCAUUUUAAUUAAAAUUUAUAUUUAAUAUAAAUAAUUUAACUAUUAAAAAAUUAUUUAUAUAUUUAAAAUUUUUUAUAAAACAAAUGAAAAUUAGAUCGAAUUUAGAAAAGAAAAUUUGAGGAGAAGAGAGAGAAAAAAAAAACCUCUCUCCCCAGCUGGGCCCCACCCACGCGCGCCAUGGCUGCCGCCGCCGGCGCGUCGCGCCACGCCACACCCGCCCCGCUCCUGGCCCACGCCACGCCGUGCCCGGCCUGCUGCCUGCACGCCCGCGUCUACCGCUCUCGCUGCCAUGGACCCGCGUGCAAAAAGGGGCAAUGAGUCCGACUUUUUGCACUGUAGGUUUUCUUUUUUUCUUUUUUUUUUUGUGCUCGCCUGCCGCACGCCCACGGGCCGAGCCAGUGCCUCCGCCCCGUUCGCGCUCCCGCUCGCGCACGCAGCGCCCACUUGUGUCCGCCUCCGCUGCCAUGUGUGAGGGAGGCGUCCGGGCGCCGGUCCACGCUUGUGCGUGCACGGCGCAGCGGCGAGAGAGAGAGAGAAAGAGGGCGGGAGGGGUGGGGAGAGGAGGAAAGGGUGGAGAGAGAGAGAGACCGGGGAGUGGAGAGAAAAGAGGGGGAGAUGAGAGAAGAGAAGGGAGAGAGAGAGAGCGGGAGGACAGGGGAAGGGGAGGGGGAAGGGGAUGGAGAGAAAAGAGAGGAGAGAGGACAGAGAGUGGUGGAGAGAGAGAGAGCGGGGGGGAGGUUGGGAGAGGAGAGAGAGGGGAGGAGAGAGAGAGACGCAGAGUCGGGGUCGGGGGGGCCCUGCCAUGUACGGGCCAACCCCGCGCCCACGCGCACGCGCGCGGAAAGGGGAGAGAAGAAGAAAGAAAGAGGGAGCGGGGGGAGAAGGGGAAGAAGAGAGAAGAGAGAGGAGAGAGCCAGUGGGGAAGGGGCCCGCAUGUGCGCGACCGCCCCUCGCGCGUCGUGCGCACGCAUAGAGAGAGAAAGAUGAGAGAGAGAGGAGAGAGGGGGGGCGGCGGGCGGGCCUAGUCAUGUGUACGACCACGCCCGGCACCGCGCCGCCCGCCCGUGCCCUUGCACACGACUCGCGCCUGUGCGCGCGCUCGCCGCCCUCGCGUGCCGCGCCACCCGCGCUUACUCCCGCGUGACCUCCGCAUUGCGGCGGAGCGAAAUUAAUCUAAAAUUUAUUUUUUUGUUAUGGACCAUAGCAAAAAAAAAAAAAAAAAGAGAGAUUACAACAGAGGACUGGGGUCCCACAGGAAAAAAGCCAAAAAAAAAAAACUGCGCACGGCUAAGUGUAUCGCAUUAGGCAUCUGUGCCCAGCUGCCAGCGGUACGCACUCCCAGCCCGAGCGACCCGCCUUGCCGCGCCCGUGCCCUCCGACCCUCGGCUUGCAGCCCGAUUCGCAGCGCCUGCGCCCCCUUCGCCCCGCGCCUUCGCCCUCGUCGUGUCCGGCCAACGCCAAGGGCCGGCCUCGGCCGCCAAGCCCCGUGCCGCUGCAGGAACAAAGUACCCGACGACCGCUGCCCUCGACGCGCCUGCGCCCCGCAGGCCAAUGUGUGCAGAGAGAGAGGAUGAACAUAAAAAAAUAAUAAAAAAAGUUAAGAAUUAUAAGAAAAAAUGAUUUAGUUGUUUUACAGUUUUGCCUUAUUCUUCUUUCCAUCUAUCAUAUUUGUUUUUAUUUUUUUUUUUCAUUUUUAAUAUUUUAUUUCUAAUUUUUUACGUAUUUUUUUAUAUAUUUUUAAUCUUUUUUUAUUCAUUCUUAAUUAAAAUUUAUAUUAAAUAAAUAAUUUAACUAUUUAAAAAUUAUUUAUAUAUUUAAUUUUUUAUAAAACAAAUGAAAAAUUAGACGAAUUUAGAAAAGAAAAUUUGAGGAGAGCAGAGAGAGGAUUAAAAAAAAAAAACCUCUCUCUCCCAGCUGGGCCCAUCCCACAAGCGCGCCAUGGCUGCGCCGCGGCCCGGCGCUGUCGCGCAACGCCACACACCCGCCCCGCUCCCUGGCCCAGCCACGGCCGUGCCCCGGCCUGUCUCCUGCACGCCCGCGUCUACCGCUCUCGGCUGCCAUGGCCCGCGUGCAAAAAGGAGGCAAUGAGUCCCGACUUUUUGCCACUGUAGGUUUUCUUUUUUUCUUUUUUUUUUUUUUGUGCUCGCCUGCGCCCACGGCCACGGGCCGAGCCAGUGCGUCCGCCCCAGUCGCCGGCUACCCCGCUCGCAGCCGAGCCCCACUUGUGUCCGCCCCGGCUGGCAUGUGUGCAGGGAUGGGCGUCCGCGCGCCCGGUCUCAACGCUUGUUGCGUCACGCGCGCGAGCGUGAGAGAGAGAGAAGAGGGGGGAGGGUGGGGAGAGAGGAAAGGGUGGAAGAGAGAGAGACCGGGGGUGAGAGAAAAAGAGGGUUGAGGAUGAGAGAAGAGAAGGGAGAGAGAGAGGGCGGAGGGAAGGGGAAGGGGAGGGGAAGGGAUGGAGAGAAAAAGGGAAGAGGAAGAGAGGGGGAGAGAGAGAGAGACCGGGGGGAGGUUGGGAGAGUGAGCAGAGAGGAGGAGAGAGAGAGACGCGAUGGCUGGCGGGGGGGGCGCCUGCACGAUUACGCGCAACCCGCGCCCUACAGCAGCACGACGCGCUGAAAGGGGAGAGAAGAAGAAAGAAAGAGGAGCCGGGGGGAGAGAGGGGAAGAAGAAGAGAAGAGAGAGGAGAGAGCCAGUGGGGAGGGGCCCGCAUGUGCGCGACCGCCCCCUCCGCGGUGCGCACGCUAGAGAGGAAGAGGAGAGAGAGAGAGGAGAGAGCGGGGGGGCGGGCGGGCCCUAGUCAUGUGUACGACCCACGCCGGCACCGGCCGCCCGCCCGUGCCAUUGCCACGACUCGCCGCCUGGCGCGCGCUCGCCCGCCUCUCGCGUGCACGCGCACACUGCCGCGCUUACUCCCGCGUGUUGUGCUCGCCUAGCGCCCACGGCCCGGACGCCGAGCCAGUGCGUCCGCCCCCAGUGCCGAGCACCCCGCAUCGAGCCGGAGCGCCACACUUGUGUCCGCCUCCCGCUGGCAUGUGUGCAGGGAGGGCGUCCGGCGCCGUCGCAACCUUGUGCGUCACCGCGAGGCAGCGGAGAGAGAGAGAAAAGAGGGAGCCGGAGGGGGGGAGAGAGGAAAGGGUGGGAGAGAGAGAGAGCCGGGGGUAGAGAAAAAGAGGGUUGAGAUGAGAGAAGAGAAGGGAGAGAGAGAGGCGGGGGAAGGGGAAGGGGAAGGGAGGGAGAGAAAAAGAGGAAGAGAGACAGAGAGGGGUGGAGAGAGAGAAGAGACCGGGGGGAGGUUGGGAGAGGGAGGAGGAGGAGAAGAGAGAGACCGAGUCGGGGGGGCCCUGCACGAUUACGCGCAACCGCGCCCCUACCAGCAGCACGACGCGCCGAAAGGGAGAGAAGAGAGAAAGAAAGAGGGAGCCGGGGGGGAGAGGGGAAGAGAAGAGAAGAGAGAGAGAGAGAGCCAUGUGGGGAAGGGGCCCGCCAUGUGCGCGACCCCCCCUCCGCGCGUGCGCACGCAUAGAGAGGACAAGAGAGAGAGAGAGGGAGAGCCGGGGGGGGGCGGGGCCCUGUCAUGUGUACGACCGCACGCCGGCCCGGCCGCCCGCCCGUGCCCAUUGCCACGACUCCGCCGCCUGGCGCGCGCUCGCGCGCGCUCUCGCGUGCCCGCCCACACCGCAGCUACUGCCGCGCGUGCCUCGCGCGCUCGCGAAGGGCUCGAAAGGGAGGGGGGACGCUGAGAGGCCGACACGUGGCCACUUUAGAGUUCUCCUUUUAUUAUAUCUAUAUGUUGUCCAUUGAAAUUAAUUUUUACAUUCAUUAAAUUUGGCUUACAUACCUAUUUGGUAGUUAUGAUCAAAUAAAAAGUAAUAAUUGAAAGGUCACUUCAUAAAACACCCGUUUAUAAAGUAUCACUUCAUGAAGUACCCAUUCGUAGUCUAUAUAAGCCUAUAGUGUUGGUUGCUGAAGUACCAGCAGUUGAAAAGUUUAUGUCUCCACUCAUAAUAAUUUCAUUCUUAUUUUCUUAUUCUUUUUUUUUGACAACUUAAUCGAUAGAGUGCUCAAGGACUCAACUUUGUGUGUGCAAACGUAGUUGAGGUUUAUAUUUCAUUGUAUUUUGAGAGGCUGUUUGUUGACCCAGUGCACAUAAAUUUAUUUGAAUGGUGGGAAUGGAUUAAGCUUCAAAGAGAGUGACAUUGCUACACAGGGAUGGAAGUAUGUUGGGACUGAGGGGGAACAUGGCCCCCCCCCCCAAAUUUUUUAUAAUUUGCAUAAUAUUCCUUUUUAUAUAAAAAAUUUUAAAAAUAUUUUUUAUUUAAUUUUAAAAGUAUGAUGAGUAACCUAUGUUUUAUAAAAUUUUGGCGCUAAUAUAAUGCUCUCUCAACUCUUAGUUUAUUUAUUUAUUUUUUAUUUAAUAUCUUCAUAACUUCUAAUUAUUUUAGAUAUUUUUUUAUUUAAUUAAAUUAAAGGUUAUAUUAAAGUUAAUAGCUCUGUCAACUAAUAGUCAUUUAUUGUCACAAUUAAAUUUAGUAAAAAUUAAUAAAUUUAAUCAUUCACUGAAUUACUAUUAGAUUUAGUAAAUGUCAAAGUUAUUUGAGUGAAAUAAUAUAAAUUUCACUCAAAUAUAUUUUUUCAUUCAAAGUUAAGUAACUAUAAAUAAAAAAGGGGUAAUGCUUUUUUACACUAAUUAUUUAAUCAAUAUAUUUUUUUCAUCAAAAAUUUGAUUAUAAAUUUUGUUUAUUUGCUGAAAUUUUGAUUUGUAUGUAUUUUUGGCCCCCCUCGUAAUCAAGUGCUAACUUCGUCCCUGUUGCUACACAUCUUGAAACCUUUGUCGUCUUCCUACUUGAUAUACUUUUUCUACACAAAUUGUUCCAAUAGAGAGUUUUAUGCACAUCACGAUCUAAUCGUAUGCACGUUACGGGGGUAAUCAUGCUACCGGGGUGCUUCCGCUCAACGCCCCAGCAUGAGAAAAAACUGUAACAAUUAACAGCUGACGGCCGAUUGAGUUCUCAAAUUUAAUUUAAUAAAAUUCUUAGUUUAACAAAGUAUAAUAACUUACAUCAAAAAACACAUGGUUAAAAUAUCAGUAACCUCCAUAGAUAAAUAACUUGUCGUACUGCACUUACUAGAUAAAUGAAAUCAUCUCCAUAGAUAAAAAUCUUCAACAAAUUGUACAGCAAAAGAAAAAGUGUGAUGCCCCAACUUUUCAGGGGGGUCAUCCAUCCUAGAACUACUCCCGUCUUAGCACGCUUAACUCUCUUAACCUCUUGGUCUAGCUACCACCUAAAAUGCUUAAGUUAGGUUAAGAGUUUAGCCCUAUUAUAUCUCAUAUAUAGGAUUAUUUGAGUUCUCACAAUCUCCUCUCCUUUAAGCCUUGAUGUACUCGUCAGACUCAAACUCACAAAUAUCAGGCGAUGUGAGACUCGUCUCGCUAGUCUAAACCGACCUUGUAGGGGAGCCGCGUUCUACCCACAACAGUCAACAGUAUGAGAGCCUCGCUCUCUCUACUGUACAAUUCUGGCUCAGCCGAGACGAGUCUCACAUUUCCUAUUGGUAAUUGGCUCUGAUGCCAAUUGUGACGCCCAAACUUUCCACGGGGUCACUCAUCCUAGGACUACUCCCGUCCUAAUACGCUUAACUCUCUUAACCUCUUGGACCUAAGUACCACCCAAAAUGCUUUAGCCGGGUUAAGAGUUUAGCCCUAUUAUAUCUCAUAUAUAGAACUAUCUGGGGUCUCACGAAAAGAGUGAAAUUCGUCACUCAAUUACACCAUUUUCUUCCUCCUCAACCAAAAUCUUUAUUUCCUUGACAGAAGAAUGAUACGGUUACUGAUUUAGGAGCCACAUUAUUUCAGAGAAUGAUAUGGUGAUGAUUUAAGACCUAUAUAAUCACAAGACUAUUACAAUCCAAUAUCGAUCAUCGUGAAGAUACAAUCUGGUGAUUGAAGAGGACAAGGUAGUUGAAUCAUUUGCAACAUCAGCCUUUUCAUUCGAAAAAUUGGAAGAAAAAGAAAAUUCUUAAUUGACAUGGAAAUCAAAAUUUCGUUAAAGUAGGUAAAAAUACUUUACAGGCCAUGGGCAUGUUGUAAAUUAGGUAAAAAUAUAUGGACCACCUCAACUUAUUUUGAAGUGACCUCCUCAAGUUUAUUUUUUAAAUAAAAUUUUAUAUACAAAAAAAUAAGAGUGGAUAGUGAAUUAUUUAUAACUAGUGUAGUGGUCCGCACAUUGCAGCAGGGAUAUAUUGAUGAAGCAAGAAUUCGAAAUAAUGUCGUACAAUAUUAAAAAAAGAGAAGGGAUUAGAGAUAUAUUCCUUUCAAAUCUAUUUAGUAGAUAUAGUACAAUGACACGAACUUUAUAGUGAGUAGAUGCUAUUGUAAAACUAAAGAUAUGUAAUCUACUAAAAUGUAAGAAAAAAAUUAAUAUUUUUACUUGAUGUAUAAAUUCAGUCCAUAUUUAAACAAUGGGCAACAUUCAUUGGUAGAAAAAAUGGCAAAACGAUAAUGCAUUGGACAAUGGGUAGCAUUCAUAAUGAUGAUGGUCUAUCUUCAGUCAACAGAAAAAAAAAUGGAGAAAAAAGGGAAAAAAAACCCAGCCAAUUUGACAAAAAGUAAUUAAAAAGAUUGGUGGGGAAUAUUAUUUUUGUUGGAAAUAUUAGGGCAGCGGAAACUUACAAACCGGAUAGCCAACGUAUCCAGAAAUUGAAAUCAGAUCGGAUUGUUUGUUUUACAUGCCUUCUUGGAUCGUCCUUGUCUCAAUGCUUCUGAAUCUCCCACGUUUCUCGCCUUCUCCCACGCGUACGUCUUAUGUUACGGAUCGGAUGUGGAUCUGAUGCGACGGAUGUCAAUCGAAGAGAGCUACCAGAGUCCUCUUCUAUGUCCACACUCCAAAACCCAGUGAACGUAGAUGGAAAUCCCAGAGAGGAAGAAGAGAGAUAAAAUUUAUCGUGGAUUCUUUCGAAUUAGAUUGUAUUCGAUCGUCCCUCACCGGAGAGAAAAGGGGGCGUAUUUAUAGAAUAACAGAACCCCUAAAAUAUGCUAAAUCUCAUAAAGAUAUUAGGAUCAGGAAAUCUAUAAUACAUAUCCAAUAGAAGAUACAUUUCUUAACUAAUAAGAAAUGUAUAAUUCAUCCUUAUCCUUAACAUAUUAGGAUAAAUCCUAAUCCACAUCUUAAGUGGAUCGGAUUAAAUUAAGACCUGCCAAUGUGGACACACCACAUGGCAACAAUCUCCCACUUGGCCACAUUGGCCAAUUCUCUAUCACUCGUUCAUCUCUUCAUACGGGCAAUGGGGCGUGCGACCUGACGAACGAAACACAUGCAGGAGUGCUAUAUUAAGUCACCACUCAGCUAACAUAGCACAUCACCGAUUUAAUUCGUCUAUGCCCUAGACGUUUCAACACACAUAGGAUCAAGCAUCAGAAAGUCCCUCUCCCGUAAUGACAGGGCUCGACCCCACCGUUAUUUCUCGUACUCAUGAUUAUCUCAAGUAACACAACCGAGAUAAUCGCCCGGGCAAUGAGUCACAAGACUUACGCAGUGUGUUAUAGAAACAUCUUCCUUAGCCUCUCACGUUAAUCUGUAUCGGUCCAAGUACUUUACUAGACGUGCUCCGCGAGAUCGUAUUUUCCUAUGACCCUGAGAUACACGCUAAGUUAGUUACUUUUGACCUCCACUUCAUAACGUAGUUCUAAGUCAAGGACACAAAAGGGUUAGUGAUCACACAGUGACAUGGAGGGAAGAACUUAUGUCACUCUACUAACUGGUCGACAAGCACAUACAGUAUGAUAUGUAUGCUAUGGCGGAGCUUCCACUCAAUGGGUCAUGUCACGCUCUAAAAAAAACGCCAUACGAACCUUGGUCUAAGUACCACUAAGGUAUCUAACCACCACAACUUAAGUCAUCUCUCUAACCUAAGCACUUAGGUUCGGCUACUAUACAGGCUUGAUAUGAAAUUUCACAGAAAAAUUUCAUAUCCGACUCUUUAGAGUCUCAUCUUAAACUAAUUAAGACGACUUUAAAUUAUAUCAACACUUCAUUCAUAAUGUAUAUGAACAAAGUAAUCAUAUUACAACUAUUCAAGUUUAAUAUGAUUAUCUAGUCUCAUCCUGCUCACCAUCUAGGUGCCAGGGCGAUCACCAGUGUGAGUGGGCCGAUCAGAGCCUGGUGACUUAUCGAACAUGUAUCUACUAUUAUCAAUUAUGCAAUCACAUUUAAAGGAGAAAAACAUAUUUUCAUUAAUAAAGCGUAAGAUACAAAAUAAUGUCCAUUCAUCAAACCCUGCGAAGACCCAAACUCCUAACGUUGGUCGGGAACAUCUCCCUAGCUAUCGGCUUAGUCAAUAGAUCAGCGACCAUCCUAGUGGUGGAGAUAUGUCUAAGAACGACCUUGCCUAGCCUAAUCAUCUCUCGAAUGUAGUGAAAAUGAAUAUCUAUAUGCUUGGUCCCGCCAUGCUACUCGGAGUCUUUCACAUACUCCAUGGCAGCCAUGCUGUCAGAGAAUAUCUCAACAGGUUCAUCAGCUCGAAUCACAAAGUCGAGGUGCUGGAGAAAUCUCCUCAGCCAAACAGCCUCCUAAACGGCUUCUGAUCAAGCAACAUACUUCGCUUCCAUAGUAGACAAGGCAACGCGGCCUUGCUUCUUACUGUACCAGAAAAUUACGCCGCCUCCAAACACAUAGCCUGAGGUGGACCCGUACUCAUCUCUAUCACCGCCAUAACUAGUAUUGCUAUACCCUUUCAAUCUCAAGUCCCCAGCUUGAAAGUAUAGGACGAGAUCACUGGUUUCUUUUAAAUAUCGAAGGAUUAAUUCUCUUGACCGCUUGCUAAUGAAUAGGUUCUCGGUUGCUCUGGUAACGACUUACCAAACCAACAGCGGAGCAAAUGUCAAGUCGAGUACACAUCAUAGCGUACAUCAAGCUUCCAAUUGCACUCACAUAAGGAACCCUACUCAUUUGUUCAUUUUCUUUAUCCGUUUUAGGGCACUGAUUAAGACUCAGAGUGUGAUUCUUCUCCACUGGAGUGUCAACAGGUUUACAAUGAUGCAUCCUAAAACGCUCUAGAAUUCUUUUAAUAUAAGUUUCUUGAGACAAGCCAAGAAGCUUUCUAGAGCGAUUACGGAUGACCUUCACUCCGAGCACAUGGUUCGCCUUACCCAUGUCUUUCAUUUCAAAGUUGAGAGACAACCACUCCUUAGUGGUAUUGAUUAACUCCAUGUCAUUUCCAGUCAAUAGUAUAUCGUCGACGUAUAGAGAGAGAAGCAAAAUUUCAUUCUCUGUCUUCUUGACAUAUACACAGUGGUCCUCCUCUAUCAUGGACAUACCGAUAGAGGUGAUGGCUUCAUGAAACCUGAAAUACCACUGUCUCGACGAGUUCUUAAGACCAUAAAUGGAUCUUUUAAGACGACAAACUUUGUCUUCUUGACCUUUGAGUACAAAACCCUCAGGUUGAUCCAUAUAGAUCUCCUUCGCUAAUUCUCCAUUGAGAAAAACUGUCUUGACAUCCAUUUGGAACAAUUCCAAAUCUAGGUGUGCCACUAAGGCUAGAAUCAAACGAAUAGAGGCAAAUCGCACAACGGGAGCAAACGUCUCAUUGUAAUCUAUCCCUUGCUUCUGAGUGUAGCCCUUGGCCAUGAGCCGAGCCUUGUAUUUAUCGAUUGAUCCAUCCGCCUUGCGCUUAAUUUUUAAAACCCAUUUAUUUCCAAUAGACUUGCGCCAAGGCAGAAGGUCAACCAACUCCUAUACUUGGUUCUUGCUCAUGGAGUCCAUCUCAUCUUUCAUAGCAGCCAUCCACUCACUGCAAGCUAACGUCUGCAGUGCUUCUUUAUAAGAAGCAAGUUCAUCAUCAUCGAGCGGAGUGCACAUGAAAAUAUCCCCUUCGAUCUCAAAAUGUUGACGGGGAAUAUGUCCACGUUCACUUCUACGUAAUUGAGGGUCUGAAUUGUCGACUUCCAAGGGUAUGCUCUCAUUUAAGGAAGCACUCCCACUAGCCGGAGGAUCGCUACUACUUCCUUCAGCGACUUCGGAAAGUGAUCGAUCAUCCUCAAUAGCAGAUGGAGUAGCGUCGUCUUGUAACUCAUACUAUCCGACGUCUCUUCGCAUUUCACCAAUGCUUGAAAAAUCUCUUUCUAGGAAUUCCAUAUCACGAGACUCAAUCUCGGUCAUACCACUAUCUGGGUGUUCAUCAUACAUCACAUAACCCUUCGAAUUUUCAGGGUAUCCGAUGAACACAUGCUUGCUCGCUUUAGGGCGGAGUUUCCCGAAUCUACGUGAGGGGCUGUGAACAUAUCUAGCUGAACCCCAAGGGCUUAAGUAGUGUAAACUUUGUUCUUUACCACUCCACAACUCAUAUAGAGUAGAAGGCACUAAUUUGCUAGGGACUCGAUUAAGGAUCUAGGCUGCAAUCAAAAGGGCAUCUCCCCAAAAAUUUAUGGGAAGUUGCGCUUGCCCCAUCAUCGACCUAACUAUGUCUAAUAGAGUACGGUUCCUUCGCUCUGCAACACCAUUUUGUUGCUGAGUACCUGGAAUAGUGAACUGUCUACUAAUGCCCUUUUGCUCACAAUAAGUCUUGAACUGAUCAGACAAGUACUCACGACCUCGGUCAGUGUGAAGCACCUUUACACUUCUUUCUAUUUGAUUCUCAGCCUCAGCAACAAAGCGCUUGAAGCAAUCUAAAGCUUCAGAUCGGCGAGAAAGCAAAUACACAUAUCCAUAACGGGAAUAAUCAUCAAUGAAUGUGAAAAAAUAGCACGCACCAUGCCGGGCCCUCACAUUCAUUGGCCUACAAAUGUCUGAGUGAAUUAGCUCUAAAGGAUGAGAGGCACGAGUAGCCUUACCGAAAGGCUUUCUACAUGCCUUCCCAGCCAGACAAGGCUUGCACACAGAUAGGUCAACUUUGGCGAGAGACCCCAAAAGGCCUUCUCGAGCCAGUCUAUUCAUUCUAUUUUGACCUAUAUGACCUAAUCUGACAUGCCAUUUAACGGAUUCAUCACAGAGAUUAGAAGAAGAAGAAGAAACAAAUGCAAACGAAUCAUCCUCCAAAUCUAAUUUAAAGAAACCAUCAACUAAUGUAUCAUAUUUAAAUAAAGUACCAUGAAAGGAAAUAUCAAGGUUGUCUUUGUCAAAAUGGCUCUACAAAGCUUUCCAACUCCACCGUGGGGAGCUUGAUUUCAUUUCUUCUGCGCUCCAUUGUUGUGACGGAGCGUGCAAUAAGAGCGACAGAACGGUUUGCUUCCAAGCGCUCUGCCUCGAGCUCGAGAUGACGCGAGAUGUUAUUAAACGUUUUAAUAUUCUCGCUGUGUGUCAUCAGGAGCUUCAUCUAGGACCAUUCAGGAUCAGGCAGUGAACGGAUCACUGCUAGAACUUGUUGCUCAUCAGUGAGCUCGUUUCCAGCAAUCUUAAGGUCCCAAAUCAUGGUGCUCAUCACACGAAGGUGCUCAGCCAUUGAAUGCUUCGGGUCUUUAAUAUACUAUAGAAACUUGAGAUUUAAGGCACGUAGCCUCUGUAAGGUACCGAACUUCUGUUGUAAGGUACUGAACUUCUAAAAUUAUGCAGUUACGGUGGAUGUAGUAUGCUGGAUUUUAAAUAUAAAAAUAAAUAUAAAUAAAAAUAGUGUGAGAUACUAUUUUUAUUGAAUUUAAGGGUGUAAAGUAUAAGUUGGAAAUGACCUGUGCUGAAAUCGGAGCGAAAACAGAAGAUUUAGAAUUUUCUGUGAGAGACGGGGCAGAUAAAUUAGUAGAAAAUGCACAGUGUCAGAAAAUUAUAAAAACUAGAGAAUAUGUCAGAAUUAUUUUUAUGAGGCUAGAUUUAAAGUUCAUACCAUUCUGACGCCCGAAAAGUGGAAAAUAAAAUCCGAUUGCUAUCUGAUAAAGAUUACAGUUCGGUACAGCUUUCGGUGACCAAACAUGGUCGAAACUGAAAGAUUAAAAUUUCUUUGGACUUAUUAAGUAAAACCGAGCCUGCCUGUCAAAUUUGAGCGCAAACGGACGUUCAGAAGGGCCCCGACGAAAAAUGUCAGUUUUAAACCGCUGAAGUGAAUAGUGUUUUGGGGGAGUUUACUUGGAGGUGAAGUUUCCUCCUAUAUAUAUAUAUAUAUAUAUAUAUAUAUAAGGGUGUUAUGUCAUUUCCCUCAUUCCUCUCUACUUGAGCCAACAUAAGAGAAAUCUCUCUCUCUCUCUCUCUCUCUAGGAUUGGCUCCAAAGUGUGGAGUUUGGUAGAGAAAAGCUUACUUAGAGGUGAAGCUUUCUUUUUCUUCACCAUUGGUUUGAAGAGAGCUUGGGUUUGAGAGGUAAGCUUUGAUAGCAACAAUGGUAGAUUGCUAAGUAGUGAUUUGUAUGCCUUAGAAAUGGGUUUAGUGAAACUCCUAGAUGCUAAAUAGAUGGUUGAUGCUCGAAUUUAGAGAUCAAAUAAUGAAUUCUUGCAUAGUUGCAUCUUAGGGCAUCAAAAGAGAGGUUUUGCUUGGGAGGGGUUUUGAUCUAAAUUGAUCAUGUAUAAACCUAAUUGCUAGGUUUUCUGACGCGUUGGCGAAGUCUGUUCGGCGGUACGACGAGGCUACGUGAAGAUAUUAAAGAACGAAGCCGUUAAGGUACAGAUUGCCGCAGCUCGUGGCGAAAGCUUCCAAAAAUCACAAAAUCGGAACCCUAGCCUCGUGAUAGCGAUAAAAGGUGGGGGGUGUCCAUCCCGAAGCAACUGGACUUCCUUCUAUGUCUGAGUUAGAUUUUUGGUCAUAUUGCACAUAUGGUUUUUAUGCAUUGUAGGAUGUAUGUAUUAUUACAUUUCUACUUUCCUUGCAUGCAUGUCUAGUUGUGUAGUAUUAUGGACUUGACACCUAAAUCUAGAAUGCAUGAGGAUUAGGAUUGUGACAUGAGAUCCUAUAGUGAUAAGAGAACGGUGAACUCGGACUUGAUGAUGAAAACUAGUGACAUGCGAACUAGUGUAUAAAAAACACUAUGACUUGGACGAGUGGCAUGUAAACAAUGUUAACAACAUGACGAGUGGCAUUGGAACUUAGUGUAAUAAAAACACUUGUGGCAUUGAGCAUAGGGAAUAGGUGAGUUUUCCUAAUCGUGGCAUAUUGCAUGAGAUUAGUGUAAUUGAGACACUAUGGCAUCAAACAUAGGGAUAGUUCAAUUCCCUAGUGUGAGUUGAUUAGUGUGGUUGAGACACUUGACAUGGACCUAGGGAUAGGUGAGUUUUCGAGUGUUUGUUAACUUAGUUGACAGGGUAUCCUCAAUUGGCGAGGAUUGGAUCAUACUCACAUAGUUUGUUUUGAGCUUGUGGUGGUCGUUCCACACAAGCAGUGCACUCCGGAGUUGUCACACGAGCUGGGUAGCUCACGAGCGGGGUAGCUCACUGGGUGGGAUACGAGCGGGGUAGCUCCUCACCCAUUGGACUGGGAAGUGAGUUGGGGCGAAUGGCGGGGUAGCCCUUCCCCUAUAAGGAUUGAGCGGGGUAGCUCAUUACUUAUGAGAAUUGAGCGGGGUAGCUCAUUACCUAUGAGAUUAGAGCAUGGUAGCUCUUCAUCUAUGACCUUUGAGAUGUGAGACGGGUGAGAUAAGAGCGGGGUAGCUCCUCACCUAUGAGAUUUGAGAUAUCAGUCAGGGCGAAGAGCGGGGUAGCUCUUCACCUCUUUACCUACUAGAUUGUGGUGUAAGUACCUAUGAGAUUUGAGAUCUUAGGCGGGGUAGCCUAGUGGAUUGGGUAAUGAUAUGAAUAGCAUGAGUGGAUUUGCAUUCAUCCCUUGAUUAGACAUAGUGUAUAUUAGUGGAUUGCAUAACUAUGUUGUAUUUGUGUUCAUUACAUUGUUGAAGCAUAUUAUCAUGAUAGUAGGCUUAUUGCUAGACGAUAUUUCAUGCAUUGCUUGCAUUUGAUGGCACAAUAGAUCAUAGUUGCAGUUUAAUAUCUAUCUAUCUCUCUAUCUAUCUAUUUGUGCCAGCUUAGACCUAGUGGGAAGAUCGGCGGAGUCGGCGGCCGAACCCACUGGGAACUAUAUUUAUAUAGUUCUCACCCCGUGUGAUUUUGGGGUACAGGUACACACGUGAGCGGGCCGACAGGUGAUCGCGGUAAGGGCGUAGCGCCCUAGCUAGCUAGUUGUGGCUUUCCUUUUGUAUUAGAGUACCCUCGUGUACAUAGGUGACAUGGUUGUAUUUUGGAGAGUACAUUGUACCUAGAUGCAUGUGAGUGGAAUAUGUAUUCAUUUUGGGUGAUGAUGAAAAUAUAAAUGUAAUCAAAGAUGUAAAAGUGGAAUGUGAUGUAAUAGCUAGAUGUAUCUCUCUUUAUGCACUUGUAUAUAUACUUGUGUUACUUGCUCUUGUUGUAUUGCACUCUUCGUGCUUCUCUCCUUGUUGGAUCGUGCAUGUAUUGAAUUAUCCCUGGGCAAAUUCUUUGUACAUGAUCUUGUGUUGAGCCUUAGGCGGACAGGGGAGGUGCUGUCCGUCCGGGGUCUGUUCGACGCGCCCGAACCGAACCAAAUGGGUAGCGGGGCGGGGCAUGACAGCCUCGUAGAUGAAGUUUGACCAAAAGUAAUCUUCAGGUUGUCCCACAUGUCCUUGGCAGUUUCAAAGAUCUCAAAUUGUCCAAUGAGGUCGUCUUGCAUGGCACACAACAUAGUGUACCGAGCAGUUCGAUCCUCCUUGAUCCAUUUGUUAUAAAUCUCUUUUUCAUGCUCAGAAGCUGUGCUUUCGGCAGGCAUGACUCUUUUGACAGAAAGAGUUUCAAGAACCCCUUGUUCAUUAAGCAAGUAUUGCAUUUUUCUAUGCCAAAUAUCAUAAUUCUUUCCAUCUAGCUUAUCAUCCCUGGUGAGAUCAGCUAUAAUGUUUUUGGAAGUCAUUUCACUACAUUCAAAAAAAUAGGUUUCGACAUUAGGCACAUAUUCUAAAAAUUAACAAGAUUGAAACAUUAUCCUCGACACAACGGGAUCAAAAACUUCGCUAUGCUUGUAAUCAUUACCCAGUGUCGGCUCAAAAUAUUACAAUCUUAUUAAUUAAUUUUGGAACUUAUCCAAAAGUUGGAACUUAUCCAUUUUAAAAGAACACAUCCUUUUCAUUAAAAAAAUAUUUAUACAUGGUGAACUUAUUUCAUAAUAUCAUCACACAGAUAAAAAAUAAGUACUUAUGCCAAAAUUUAAUUUGAAAAACGUUGAUGCUGCGCAAAACACAGUCCUUCACAUGGUCUUAAUUAUUACAUCACCUUUUGCAUAAUAAAACCUACUACAUCACUAUAAGAUGUACAUCAGAAAAGGAAUGUUCUACAGGAAUGCUGCACACGUCGAACCCAUUUUUCCAAAAUUAAAUUUUGUUGAAAAAUAUCGAAAUAACAUAAGUACUUAUAUACACAAUCACGCAAUUACAAUAUGCUAAAUAAACAUUUAAAAUUCACCCACAUAGCAUAAAUUAAACAAACAACACGUGUUAUAUAAGCAUAAGAUUAUAUAUAUAUAUAUAUAUAUAUAUAUAUAUAUAUAUAUAUAUAUAUCCCAAAAAAUAACCACACAGGAAAGUAUAUAUACAUUUUUUAUUUUAAUGGGCAAAAAAUAAAAAAUACUGCGUGAGCACAGUCAGGCCGAACAGAGGCUGCGUCCGCAUGAACAUCGAGCCGGGCCGGGCCCACAAGCCCGCCCGAGCCCUUGCGGCGCGCAAUGGGCCGGGCCGUGGCCAGAAACCCGCUCGAAUCCCGCAAGGGCCGCGCCCCUGCACGCAACAGGCCGGGCCGGGCCUGCAAGCCCGCCCGCAGCGCGCGGGUCUUCCCGCGCCCGUGGCGGGUUGGGUCAAGCUCGAAGCCCGCUCGCAGAGCGCGCGGGUAUACGCCAGCGGCAGGCUAGGCUAGGCCCGAAGCCCGCGUGCGGGCGCGGGGUACGCGUCAGCGCCUGCAGCGAGCUGGGCAGGCCCGAAGCCCACGCGCGCGGGGCACGCGGGUACGCGUCCGCAUCCAUAAUGGGUCAGGCCUGCGCGCAGGUACUGCGCGUGGGUGCGCCCCCCGCGCACGCAAGGCGCCAAGCCCGCGCAUUGUGCGCGGGUGCGCGCCUGCGCCUAGGGCUGGCAAAUGAGCGAGCCGACUCGUGUUCGACUCGAUAUUUGGCUCGCUCGAGCUCGACUCGAAAUUAAAUGAGCCGAGCUUGAACAAAAAGAAAGCUCGAAAUUCAUUUCAAGCCGAGCUUGAGUAUUACUUGGCUCAUUAGAAUUAGGCUCGAAAAGCUCGAAUAUAUAUAUAUAUAUAUAUAUGAGCAGGGCUGCUGUGCUCUCAGGAGCACAGAGGCCUCCGUGCUCCUGAGCCGUUUUCGAUGAUGGAAUUUUCGAAUCGACGAUCAGUUCCGUUAGACUUGAUCUAGCGCAUUUGAAGUUUCUAGAAAAUAAUUUUUGCGAUUUUUCGAUAUCAUUUACCUAGUGAUCGAAAGGAUUCAAAAUCCAUAAUUUUUAAUGGUUGAUAUAUGCCGUUUUCAAAUUUAACGGUGUAGAAGUAUUCAAAUCAGAUGAAAUUUUGAUAGAAAAUUCUUUAUUUUAUCUACAACAAGAUCUAUAUUUCUGAUCGAAAAUUUUAGUACUAUAUCACCACUUUUUAUAGGAUUUUUAUUUUCAGCCGUUAAAAAUUAUUGAUUUUGAAUCCUUUCGAUUGCUAGGUAAAUGAUAUCGAAAAAUCGCAAAAAUUAUUUUCUAGAAACUUUAAAUACGCUAGAUCAAGUUUAACGGAGCCGAUCGUCGAUUCGAAAACUCAAUCAUCGAAAACGGCUCAGGAGCACGGAGGCCUCCGUGCUCCUGAGAGCACAGCAGCCCUGCUCAUAUAUAUAUAUAUAUAUACUAUGCUAUCGAAAGUAUAGAGGAUCUGGUGUUUUCGAUUUUUUGAUUCUUAGAUCAACUCCUUUAAUCAUUUCUUAUUUUUGGAUUAAUACUAUUAUUACCUUGUAAGAACCACUCAAUCCUAGGAGUAUUAUUUAAUCCUAGGGGGGAUCGCAAUCAUCCCAACCAUACAAUUCUUAAUCAAAGGGUCAAAAAUUCGAAAAUAUCAAAUCCUUUAUAUUUUUAAUAGUAUAGUAGUUCUACAUUAUAUAUAUAUAUAUAUAUAUAUAUAUAUAUAUAUAUAUAGAGUAGGACUGCUAUGCUCUCAGGAGCACGGAGGUCUCCGUGCUCCUGAGCCGUUUUCGAUGAUGGAAUUUCCGAAUCGACGAUCGGCUCCGUUAGACUUGAUCUAGCGCAUUUGAAGUUUCUAGAAAAUAAUUUUUGUGAUUUUUUGAUAUCAUUUACCUAGUGAUCGAAAGGAUUCAAAAUACUUAAUUUUUAAUGGUUGAUAUAUGCCGUUUUCAAGUUUAACGGUGUAGAAGUAUUCAAAUCAGAUGAAAGUUUAAUACAAUAUUCUUUAUACUAUCUACAACAAGAUCAAUAUUUCUGAUCGAAAAUUUUAGUGCUAUAUCACCACUAACACUUUUAUUUUCGGCCGUUAAAAAUUAUUGAUUUUGAAUCCUUUCGAUUGCUAGGUAAAUGAUAUCGCAAAAUCGUAAAAAUUAUUUUCGAGAAACUUCAAAUACGCUAGAUCAAGUUUAACGGAGCCGAUCGUCGAUUCGGAAACUCCAUUAUCGAAAACGGCUCAGGAGGACGGAGGCCUCCGUGCUCCUGAGAGCACAGCAAUCCUGCUCUCUAUAUAUAUAUAUAUAUAUUAAAAAAUAUAUAAAUAUAAUAUAUUUUAAUUAUAUAUAGGCUGAGUGAAUAAUCUGAGUUUAGUUAAAAUUAGGCUAAUGUUGUUGGCCCAUAAAAACAAACCUAAUAGACAAAUAAAAGAGCGAAAUUUCACUAAAUUUAUACAUUUUUCCUUUCUUUCUUUCUUGCACAGAGCUUAAAUUUUCAAUAUGUUUCGCACUUCCUCUUUUUCUGUCUCUCACCCUAAGUGGCCAAGCCGGAAGCCCUCCAAGUUACCAAGUAACAGCAUAUGCCCGUCGUUGCCUACCUUGCUAUUAAUUGUAUGCUUGAGAAAAUAUACAGAAUAUUUUUAAAGUAAAAAAUUAUUAUUCAUAUAAAAUUUUAAUUUUAGUUAUAUAUGAUUGGAUAGUUUAAUCCAAUAUUUAUCUAUAUAAUUUAUUUAUUUUUGACUGCAUAAAUGAAAAUGAAUAAUAUGGAGAUUGAAGGCGGAAGAAAAGACAUGUGAGGCUGAAAAGAUUAGAUAUUCAACUCAUAAAUUAUUUUUUUUCAUAUUAUAAUACUAUAUUUCAUAUAAUUAUUUUGUACUUUGAACUAUUAGACAUAUUUUUGUAUCAAAUUAUAGAUAAUGUUCUAUACAAAUUAAACUAUUGAUCGUAUAAUGUUGAGAAUUUCAAGCGGCUCGUUUAGGGCUCGAGCUCGCUCGACUUGAAAUUAGGCUCGCUCGAGCUCGGCUCGAAUUAAUUUCAAUCCAAGCUUGAGCUUAAAUUUAGGCUCGAAAUUAAUUUCAAGCCGAAUUUGAGCCGAGGUAAGCUCGCUCGAGCUCGGCUCGUUUCCACCCCUACCUGCGCCCUCUGUCCCCAGUCGCAGCAGGCCGGGCCUGCGCGCUGCGUGCGAGUGCGCCCUCCGUGCACCCAGCGGGCCGGGCCCCCUCGCACCCAGCGGGCAUGCGCUCGUCUACGCCUCUGCGCUUGCAACGUGCCGGGCCCGAGCGUUGUGCGCUGGUAGGCGCCCGCGCACGCGCCCGUAGCUGGUCGGGCCUAUGUGUCCGCCACGGUGCGUGGGUGCGUGUCUGCUUGCCCUGUGGGGGCUGGGUCGGCACGGCGCCCUCCUGUGGCGCGCGGGUGCAUGCACGCGCGCCUGCAGCAGGCUGGGCCGGCCUAUCGCGUAGUGCGCAUCAGCAGCUGCAAUAAUUUUAUUUUAUUUUAAUCUAAUCAUGAAAAUAGAAAGGAAUACAACUUAUGUAAAAUUAAAAAAAUCGCUUAUUUUAUGAUCCAUUUUAAGAGAAAACUAAAGCUAAUUUAGUUUUUCUUUUCUUUCCUUUUAAUCAAUUUCACAUAGAAAACAAAAAAAAAUUGUAGAACUAAUCUACAUAAAAAAAUUGAUCAACGAAUGCGAUCCAAAACACACGCAUCACAGGCUCUGAUAUCAAUUGUUGGAAAUAUUAGGGCAGUGAAAACUUACAAACCGGAUAGCCAACGUAUCCGGGAAUCGAAAUCGGAUCGGAUUGUUUGUUUUACAUGCCUUCUUGGAUCGUCCUUGUCUCGAUGCUUCUGGAUCUCCCACGUUUCUCGCCUUCUCCCACGCGUACGCCUUACGUUACGGAUCGGAUGCAUAUCUGAUGCGACGGAUGUCAAUUGAAGAGAGCUACCAGAGUCCUCUUUUAUAUCUACACUCCAGAACCCCGGAAACGUAGGUGGAAAUCCCAGAGAGGAAGAAGAGAGAUAAAAUUUAUCGUGGAUUCUUUCGAAUUAGAUCGUAUUCGAUCGUCCCUCACGGGAGAGAAAAUGGGGCGUAUUUAUAAAAUAACAGAACCCCUAAAAUAUCCUGAAUCUCACAAAGUGAUUAGGAUCAGGAAAUCUAUAAUACAUAUCCAAUAGAAGAUACAUUUCUUAACUAAUAAGAAACGUAUAAUUCAUCCUUAUCCUUAACAUAUUAGGAUAAAUUCUAAUCCACAUCUUAAGUGGAUCGGGUUAAAUUAAGACCCGCCAAUGUGGACACACCACAUGGCAACAAUUUUUAUAUACUGUUAAUGAAAUAAUAUAGCUUAUUUAUUGUGAAUAAAGUAGAUUAUAUAUUAUAAUCAAUAUAAGAGUUUUCAAAACAUUUCUUUUCUGUUGUUGAGAAAAGAGUUUUUAUUUUCUAAAAAAAACUCAAACCACUAUAAUAGCAUAUUUUAUGUUUAAUAAUUAAAUAAAAAAAGAGAAUGAGAAAAUAAAAGUACAUGCAUAUGGGUAGAGGAUGACAGACGCUGUAGGUACGGAGAGCUCAAGACCCUGAUUAAAGAAAUAAUGAAAGCACAUGAGAACAAAAUUCAAAAAACUAAAAAGAGAAUGAUAAUAUGAAAAAGAAGAGAGAAAUAAAGACAGAGAUAUAGUAAAAGAAAAAAAAAGACAGAGAUGAUGGUCCAUCUUUUCGGUGGGCCCACACUCCUAAAUUAAAAAGAUGACAGUCCAUCUUCUCGGUAGGACUUAUACGCCCAAAUGUAAAGAGAUGACUGUCCAUCUUCCAAAAAAAUAAAAAGAAGAAAAAUAAAAACAGAGGUAUAGUAAAAGAAAAAAAAUAUAAAAAGACAGAGAUGAGGGUCCAUCUUCUCGGUGGGGCCCACACUUCUAAAUUAAAGAGAUGAGAGUCCAUCUUCUGAGUGGGGCUCAUACACUCAAAUGUAAAGAGAUGACUGACCAUCUUCAAAAAAAAGAAAAAAGAAAAAAGGAAUCUAGUCAAUUUAAAAAAAAAACAAAAAAAAGAGAAAAAAAGACAGAGGUAUAGUAAAAGAAAAAAAAAAUAAAAAGACAGAGAUGAGGGUCCAUCUUCUCGGUGAAGCCCAAACUACUAAAUUAAAGAGAUAAUAGUCUAUCUUCUCGGUGGGGCUCAUACGCCCAAAUGUAAAGAAAUGAUUGUCCAUCUUCUAAAAAAACAAAAAGAAAAAUAAGGAAUCUAAUCAAUUUUAAAAUUUAGGCUAUAUCGGCACAAGGCCAUGGGGAUUAAUAAUAGUUUAUAGAUCUUCCGAAAAAACAAAAAGAAAAAUAAGGAAUCUAAUCAAUUUUAGAAAAAGUAAUUAUAAAAAUUAGGGGGAUCCACACUCCGAAAUUAAGGGGGUUAGGUCACGUCAGCAUAAGGCCAUGGAAAUUAAUAGUAGUUUAUAGAUAGAUUAUAGAUUCUUUCAUUUUAGGUCUUUAAUUAAUAAUGUAUAUAUUUAUAUAAAACUAAGCUGGAAUACUAUUAAUAGCACCUAGCUAUUAGUGCUAGGUCUUCGGUCCUUGGAUAAAAAAUUAUACAGUUAGGAUGAUGUGGACUCCUUUUGAGUUGAGUGAGUUAUUGGUUGAAUAAUAUAAUCUAACAGGUGAAAGUAGUCAAAGAGUUAAAUCUAACGGCGGAAAACUCGAUAGCACCAAACGCUUGGUGCUAUUGAUAGUAUUCCAGCUGGACUCUCUCUCUCUCUAUCUUUCUCUCUCUCUAUAUAUUUAUUUACUUCCAACAUUUUUUUAAUAAAUUAUGAUCUUUUACUUAUCAAAUUAUAUAAAUUAGUGUUUUAAAAAAUAAAAAGAACGACAAAGAUACCGUAUAUAGAGAAUCUAAACUAAUUAGCAUAAAUAACAUAAAAAAGGAAAAAAUGGUUUUUAAUUAUACUAAAAAGUUAAAGUUGAUGCUGCCUAAGUUGUGCUGCUCAUAUCGUUAAUACGUCAUCAUCAGUGUGGGAAGGUUUUUAAUUACUCGGUACACGACUACACGUACACGUUGUAGAAACACCAUAUAAAAUUGUUCCUAUCCUAGACAUUUCCAACUUUAAAACGGUCCAUUUGUAGGUAUAGUUGUGGGCGUUGUACAUCUUCACCUAUAAUCUUUGAAGAAGUUAAUAGAAAGAGCAAAGCAUAUGCAAGUACGCAGGGAUGAAGCUAGCACUCGAUUAUGAGGGGACCAAAGUACAUAAAAUCAAAAUUUUAGCAAAUAAAUAAAAUUUAUUGUUGGAAUAAUAAUCCAAACUUAAUUAAAAUAUAAUUAGAGAUAUUUUAAAUUUUUUAUUUGAUUAUAAUUAGGUUAUGUAAUUAUCCAAAGUAAAAUUAGGUUUAUCAUCUGUUAGGAUUUGAUAGUUAUGGUGAGGACUGAGAAUUCGGCUGUAUAGCUAAACUCUUUGUUGACGAUAUUUUCUGUAUAAUUUAAUUACAUAAACAUUCGUCAACUUACUGGAGAAAACGAGUUGGGAUGGAGAAGUUACGCAACCUUUAGUAAUCACUUAAAAUAAAUAGUAACUAGGGUUUUCUGAAGAGGCCAAUCAGUAGAGAUGGUUUCUGGUGUGUUUUGGACUCCUUCAUACUAAUCCAAUAGCUCGUUUUCAAUAGCUCGACUGUCCUGGACCCAAUGGCACUUAUGGAUUUGAAUUUUGAUGUACGAUUUUCGAGAAAAUGGAAUUUUAUCACAAAGAGGAUUUUUAUUUCUUGUUGUUCUUGCAUUGUAAAACUUCUCGUGCUCCGUGCGUGUGUCCUGGAGUAGAGUGGAGGAUGUUUCAGGUACUUACCAGUGGUAGGAAAUUCAAAUUCAAACUUGAAUUUGAGGUUUAUUGGAUUUACACAUAUAUAUAUAUAGGUGUGGUUUUUGGAAAAUUGGAGAGUGGAUAGGAUUCGUCGCAAAUCGGCGACCAUAUCGGACGAAAUAAAAUUGUGAGUUCGAUGUCCCGGUCGUGCUAAACGCGCUGGCGUAGUCCAUUUGCAAAUCUGAAGGACGGAUCUACCGAAAAUUCAAAAGUGUUCGUAAAGUGGUCAAAAUUGGCAAAACGGAAAAUCUGCAAAACACCCUAUAUUUUAUGUAUCGUUUUGCGUGAUUUCAAACGUGGAGGUACAUCCGCGCAUUUUAGUCGCGCUGUGAGGGACUCGGCUGAAAAUAUCUAACUUCGGUGGGCAUAACUCCAAAUACGCCACCUUAUAUAUUUGAGCUAACUAGGGUUUUCAUGGAAGAAAACCCUAGCCUAUAGCUCGAGUUGCCACCAGUCACCUCCCUGUCUUUCCCCUGCCCUAACCGCGCGGGCCCCGGCCGCCUGCGCAUGCCACUGGCCGUCGAAGUUGGCCGCUCCUCCCGCUCCUCCAUCACCUCCACCUUCCACCACCUUUGUCCAAGCUGCAACUUGGAGAGGCCCCUCACCCUCGGGCUCCAUCCCUCGACGUGCCCUGACCUUCGGUGACACUCCUCUGCUGGUCGCGGCCAUCCCCGCGCGCCGCCGCUGCCGCCUUGGUAGCUUGCGGCCAAGCCGAGCAGGCUUGGGCCGAGGUUAUCUCUUCUCCUGGCACGUGUGCCACCGCCGCUGGGGACCACCUUGGCUGUCCUCCCUCGACCCUCGGCGACCUCCCUAGCCGAUCGCCGCCGUCCUUGCGCAUCGCCGCCGCCGCCCCUGGCAGCCUGCGGCCGCCUCGGAUCAGCUCAGGCCGAGGCCGGGUACUCUUUUUCCCCUCGUGCUUACGCCGCCUAGGGCCAGCCACGCAACCUCCCUCCGGCCUCCGGCGACCCACCACCGUCGUCCCGUAACUCCCCGGCCGCCGCCAAGGCCGCGGUGAGCUUUCGAACCCGGCACCCGUGUGGGCGUGGAUUGUUCCGCCGCCGUCGCCGUCGCCUCUUGCCGCCGACCAACGCGAGCCUCGGCCCCCACCGACCAGCCGCACCUACCUGCAGCCGGUGCGCCCGCCGGUCGGCCGCCGACGGCCAUGCCCUAGCUCCCCUUGGUCCGAUAAGCUUUUUAUAGUUGUUUUGUGCAUCAUUUCGGGUUCGGGUGGCUGUUCCGGCGACCUGAGGCCACCCCGAAGCUGUCGGAAGUAAGCAAGAUGAUCCUUGAUCGGUGCUGAUCAUCAUUCUCAUCUUCUCUGGGGUCAGACAGCACCUGGUUUACGAGAUAAGUGCUAUCUCUACACAGUGCCCGCAGUUUGCAGGUCUUCGAGUCGCUACCGUGCCCUCCACAGUGGACGGCCAUGCUCCGGAUCGUUAGCACGACCUCUGGCACAUCGAGACCUACCAGCGUGUGUCUCGGCCAGCCUAAAAAACUCUCGAUUUGUGCUGUCGAACCAUAAAACCCCGAAAAUCACAUAAAAUAAUGUGAUUUUAUGUGAUUGUAGGAACUUUUAUGCUAAUGUGCACUUCGUGGCUACUGUGGACAGUGUGUGCAGGUGACGAGUGAUGUCUGGAUUGGUUGUCCAAGGUUCGAGGCCUUCGCGGAAAUCGAAUAUCGAUUUUCGGUGCGUUUUUCGACGAAAUUUGCCGACAGAACGUUGUUUCAAUUUGGAUUUCUUCCGACGAUGCCUUACUGUAUAUUACUUUAUCGUUGAGCCUUAUUGGCUCGUUACUUACGUCAUUCCAAGGGUGUGGAGACGACGGGUGAGCGACAGUGGGUUUCGGUGUCGAAAUUGACACUUUCGGGAACUCGUAUCAGAAUGGUUAUCCGACGAUAAUCGUUUCGAUGUGAGCUUACGUGUUUGCUGCUAGGACACCUUUAUUAUGGUGUUGUGUGGCAGCGGGUGACUCGUGACGCGAGUCGGUUAGUCCUAGGAUACUUUGUGGGUCCCGGCGGAGUCCCGGUGCAAUUUUCAGGACUCCUGGCAUGUUACGAUAAUCGGUUUUGGAAAACCAAUUCCUGUGGGAUUAAUUGUGGGGUUGUGAGUUUACUAUUUCAUUUAUGUGGGUUGGUUUCUAACCCGGUGGACUCUCCGUAGGUCCAGUUGACGUUCUUCCACGGUCGGUAGACAGGCGCUACACUGGUACAGGUGGGUACUUCGAUCCGAAGUCGGUACAGCGGUGCACGUUCGAUGACAUUCUCUUCACCCUCUCUUUACUACCACUUUGCAUAUCAUGUGAUGAGACUAGCACCCUUUCUAUUUCUUAUUAUUGCUCUACUCGGUUAGUUUGCAUAUUCAGUAUCAUGAUUUAGAGGUAGAGCAGGUUAUCGAUUGUAUUUGAGAUCUAUGACCUAUUCAGUCGGUUCAGUGAUCCUGAUAUUGUGACUUAUUUGGUCGGUUCGGCUACGUGAUGACCUACAUGGUCGGUAUAUCCUGAGGGGUAGGAUUGUCGGCUAAUUGCCGACGGUUGGCUAUUGAGUAUAUCAACAUUGAUCGCCCAAUAUUCGUACGCAUUUUACAAACACCAGCAGUCUGAUCCACUGCUAGGGGGUGUUUUUUUUCGAAAAGUUGUUGGAUAUGCCAACCCGUGAGUCCAGCGGCCUAGUUUGGGUUAUAUGUAGGUAGAGUGGCAGUGGCACAGGCUUGAGGUCUGCGGACUGAUAUGACAGGUUUCUGAUUGUGUAUCUUUAGACUUAUCGUCUGGUUGAUGCAUGCAUACAGUAGCGGUAGUGAUUUAUAUAUAUCAUGUUUCCUCAUUUAUCAUUGCUACUGUAUUACCGUUGUUUAUACUCUUUGUUAUCCUCCUUGACUGGUGAGUACCCCUCGCCCUCGUCGGCUUGCGGUAUCCACUAGGAGGGGAGACAUGUGUAUAUGUUCUCACCUCCGACCCUCUUUCAGGUGACAUUGCUGGUCCCAGUCGGGACGGUACGUGAGGCGCGUGAUUAGUGGUCGUAGAGUAUUUCGGCCCGGUGAUUUACGGUUAAUUCCUGAUCUGUUUCCCCCCAAUAAAGUAACUUAGAUAGUUAUGGUUCAGUUGGUUCUAUUUUAUUUGGAUACAUACAGUUUUGUGAAAUUAAUAAAGUACAUAUGGUUUACUUGUGAGCUUAUGAAAAUGGUUUUCUACCCCUCGUGAUAGCUUGUUUUUAAAUGAAAAGGUUUCUGUGUGUCAAAUGGUUUUAAAAGGGAUUUUUCGAUUUUCAUGAUUCUUAGUAUUUCAAAAUAAGUUUUCGAGUGAGAAACGUUUUAAACUAAUAGAUGUGAAUUUAUAAUGAAAAUACGAUAAACUUGUGAUUGAAUGAAUGUGAAUUGGUUGAUGUGAUGUGGUGAUUGUAUAUGGAUGUUUAUACACUGUGGUUGUAUCUUGUAUUUGUGCGACGCCGUGCAAAUACAGGGGAGACUCUGUCCAUGUGAACAGUGGGUUUUCUAUACUUAUGGCGGAUCUGACAUCCCUUGGGUACAUGGCUUUCAAAAAAAUAAAAACUUGGGCACUUCCGCAUCGAUUUUAAAACUUCAAAGGGACCCCGGGGCGUGACAACUAUAUAUAGAUAGGCAUGGGUUAAUUAGAUGAAAAAAAAGCCACAGUAGACAUGGUUGCAUGGGUGUUGCCCAGAAUAUAAUUAAUCACCUUUUAUUAAUAAAGUAUUAGUUUAGUUAUCUUAUUCCUCCUCCAAUAUCUCUUCUCCAUAUUAUUUUGUUCUAUUUAGAUCUUUGGGCUAUAUAUUAUUUUAUUCUAUUUUAGAUCUUGGGGCUAUAUAAUUAAUCACCUUUUAUUAAUAAAGUAUUAGUUUAGUUAUUGCUUUGAAGAAGUUGGUCUCCCCACAACACAUGACAGCAAGUGGUUGUGAUGCUUGACGAAAAGAGAGCGAGGAGAGCCCGUGAAGUGAUUCAAGAAGACUUGACUAGAUAGCCAGGAGGGCUAGACAAGCAAGCCGAAGUAUAAAAAAUUCGGCAAGAUCUCGAUGAACUAAGGACAUUAUCCAAAUAGAAAGGUACAAAUCUAAAACUUAUUUUUCGGAUUAUCAAGUUUUUGUUAUGGAUUUAGAUAAUUGGUUUAUUCAACUUGGCUUUUCAAAGUUUGAUGGAAUAAUGAACUUUAAACGAUGAAAAAUUAUCGUUCAAUGUUUUUUAGAAUCCGAAGAUUUAUGAGAUGUUGUGGAGAAUAGAAAUUAUGGUAAAGAAUUUGGUAAAGAAGAAUUUAAAAAGAGAGACAGAGAAGUUCUAUCAUAUAUUUUUUAAGCAGUAGAUCUGUUAUUGGUUGAGAAUAUUUCAACGACAAAAACAACACGUGAAGCAUGGAGAAUGCUAGCAAAAAUUGGAGGAGAAGAUUUGCAGGAAG